UGGAGAACCAGGAGGGGGCUGAGGGAGCUGGGAAGGGCCUGGAGAACCAGGAGGGGCUGAGGGAGCUGGGAAGGGCCUGGAGAACCAGGAGGGGCUGAGGGAGCUGGGCAGGGGCUGAGCCUGGAGCAAAGGAGGCUCAGGGGCCCUGGUGGCUCUGCACAAGUCCCUGCCAGGAGGGGACAGCCCAGGGAACAGGGACAGGAGCAGAGGGAACGGCCUCAUUUGCAUCCUGAUUAACAGCUCCUAUUUAUGGGAAUCAGGAAUUUAUCCACAAUUUUUAAGGCUUCUCUCCAUGCUGGGCUUCCUGUGUUGUAUCUCCCUCUAAGGCUGGAUCAGGAUGAUCCAAUUCCUCAGAGACCUGGACAAGAGCUUGGCUGUGACCUCACCACAUCCAGGAGAUCCGCAGGAAAACCAUUCCCUGGAAAUCCUGCAGCCCCUGGAGGAGAGGCUGGAAGGACAAGCCCAGCAGGACACCAGCCAGGAAAACGGGAAUUCCGACGGCGGCUCCGCCAUCCCGAGGCACAGAUCCAGGAGAUCCCACCCCGUCAGGAUCCCAUUCCAGAGCCAUCCCUGUGAUCCAGGAGGAAGCAAUUCCCCCUCCCUGCAGGCUCCACCGCCAGCUCAUCCCCCCGGUGCUCCGGGAGCUCGGGAAUUCCCGUUGGGAUCCACGGUG
Molecule: long non-coding RNA, 673 nt
Filed under: Zonotrichia albicollis (white-throated sparrow)
Lineage: Eukaryota; Metazoa; Chordata; Aves; Passeriformes; Passerellidae
Description: lncRNA (ENSZALG00000009119.1)
Source: RNAcentral